This 499-nucleotide ribosomal RNA is filed under the name uncultured bacterium. RNAcentral describes it as "partial 16S ribosomal RNA". It matches the Rfam family "Bacterial small subunit ribosomal RNA", at positions 28 to 507 of the family's 1533-position model. The record is from RNAcentral.
GAUGAACGCUGGCGGCGUGCCUAAUACAUGCAAGUCGAGCGAACAGACGAGAGUGCUUGCACUCUCUGACGUUAGCGGCGGACGGGUGAGUAACACGUGGGUAACCUACCUAUAAGACUGGGAUAACUUCGGGAAACCGGAGCUAAUACCGGAUAAUAUUUAGCUUCGCAUGAAGCAAUAGUGAAAGACGGUUCUGCUGUCACUUAUAGAUGGACCCGCGGUGUAUUAGCUAGUUGGUGAGGUAACGGCUCACCAAGGCAACGAUACAUAGCCGACCUGAGAGGGUGAUCGGCCACACUGGGACUGAGACACGGCCCAGACUCCUACGGGAGGCAGCAGUAGGGAAUCGUCCGCAAUGGACGAAAGUCUGACGGAGCAAUGCCGAGUGAGUGAAGAAGGUUUUCGGAUCGUAAAACUCUGUUGUAAGGGAAGAACAAGUACGUUAGUAACUGAACGUACCUUGACAGUACCUUACCAGAAAGCCACGGCUAACUACGUG